RNAcentral lists this ribosomal RNA (254 nucleotides) under uncultured bacterium. RNAcentral's name for it is "partial 16S ribosomal RNA". It matches the Rfam family "Bacterial small subunit ribosomal RNA", at positions 524 to 776 of the family's 1533-position model. The record is from RNAcentral.
UACAGAGGUCUCAAGCGUUGUUCGGAUUCAUUGGGCGUAAAGGGCGCGUAGGCGGUCGUGACAAGUCACUUGUGAAAUCUCCGGGCUUAACUCGGAACGGUCAAGUGAUACUGUCGGACUAGAGUACAGAAGGGGCAACUGGAAUUCUCGGUGUAGCGGUGAAAUGCGUAGAUAUCGAGAGGAACACCUGCGGCGAAGGCGGGUUGCUGGGCUGAUACUGACGCUGAGACGCGAAAGCGUGGGGAGCGAACCGG